GGGAGGGUAGCAAAGUGGUUACUGCGUUGGUUUUAGGCACCAAUGUCUUCGGACGCGCGGGUUCGAAUCCCGUCUCUCUCA
This is a transfer RNA of Pneumocystis jirovecii, 81 nucleotides long. It matches the Rfam family "tRNA". Rfam says of the family: Transfer RNA (tRNA) molecules are approximately 80 nucleotides in length. The record is from Rfam. Lineage: Eukaryota; Fungi; Ascomycota; Pneumocystomycetes; Pneumocystales; Pneumocystaceae.